CGAACGGGUGAGGAACACGUGAGGAAUCUGCCUUCAACACUGGGAUAACUCCGGGAAACCGGGGCUAAUACCGGAUACGAGGCCUGCAGGCAUCUGCGGGUCUGGAAAGUUUUUCGGUUGAAGAUGACCUCGCGGCCUAUCAGCUUGUUGGUGAGGUAAUGGCUCACCAAGGCGACGACGGGUAGCCGGCCUGAGAGGGCGACCGGCCACACUGGGACUGAGACACGGCCCAGACUCC
RNAcentral lists this ribosomal RNA (238 nucleotides) under uncultured Actinomycetales bacterium. RNAcentral's name for it is "partial 16S ribosomal RNA". It matches the Rfam family "Bacterial small subunit ribosomal RNA", at positions 99 to 339 of the family's 1533-position model. The record is from RNAcentral. Lineage: Bacteria; Bacillati; Actinomycetota; Actinomycetes; Actinomycetales.